Molecule: transfer RNA, 67 nt
Filed under: Heterocephalus glaber (naked mole-rat)
Lineage: Eukaryota; Metazoa; Chordata; Mammalia; Rodentia; Bathyergidae
Rfam family: tRNA
About the family: Transfer RNA (tRNA) molecules are approximately 80 nucleotides in length. Their secondary structure includes four short double-helical elements and three loops (D, anti-codon, and T loops).
Source: Rfam by way of RNAcentral
UGUGGCUCAGUGGUACAGCACUUGCCUAGCAUGCAUGAAGCCCUGGAUUCAAUUUCCAGAACCACAA